Molecule: long non-coding RNA, 2733 nt
Filed under: Homo sapiens (human)
Lineage: Eukaryota; Metazoa; Chordata; Mammalia; Primates; Hominidae
Description: HSALNT0136513
Source: RNAcentral
AAAAAGAAUGAUGAAUGGAAGAUCUGGGAAGCUCAGGGAGUUAUUUUACCUCCUGCACUUGAUCCAUCUGCAAAGUGACACAUGGCAUCCACUUCCUCAGGAGAAGACAAACCUACAGAGAACACAGAAGUCUCACUUUCCUAUGACUAAUGUUUACGAUGCAAGAACAUUUGAUCAAAGUAGGCCUACCCAAGAGCUGGAGUAGGCGCUUACCCAUAGCUCCCACACGGCCCUACGGAAAUCACAGGUGGCUUCAGGUGAGCCCCAGACACCUGGAGCUCCUUAUGACUAGUGUGGCAGAUCUCCUUAAAAGCCAUAGCAAUUUAACGAAAUUUGUUGAAAUAUAUCAACCACCCCGUGAAAUAGACACUGCAGAGUUGUCAUGGCCCCGCAUGUGUCCCUGGUGCAGGUGUGGGUAUGUAUGUGUGAUGAUUUUGUUUGUUUUCAUGGGAUGUUUUGUUUCCAGCUGAGGGGAGGGGCAUGAAGGGGUAAACCAUCAGGAUAGUUUUCCAGCAGUCACUUGUUCUAGAAUGGGAACCUGUUCCUGUGAAAGAUUCCAAGCUUCACCUCCUAUUACCAUAAAUGGAUUAUAUAUUCUUUCUAUAGACAGAACAAUUAAAGCAAACUACAGGACUCACUGGAGUGGAGGAGAUCUGGGAACCCCGCGUAUAGCAUGGGAACUGAGCAAGCCAGCUUUUCACAGUGAUUGAUGCUGCAUGUUUAACAGUGCCAAGGAGGGCUGGGCCCAGUCUCCUCCUGAAUUCAUUAGCUGUGUUUGUUUUAUACAUGGACUACCUGUGUCUUUUUGGCAGGGGAUCAUAAAGCCAAGUGACAGCAACUGCUCUGCCCAGCCAUUGCUUCUGCAGCCAAAGUCAGAGGCGAUUCUGCCAGCAGCAUAACUGCUGGAGUCCCAAACCUUCCUAACAGGCCAGCAGCCCAACAAGAACCCACACUGAACACCCAGCGGCACCCAUGCCACCACAGACCAGUGCGUCCCACCCCACUGGAGAAAUCCAAUUUUGUAAAUACAAGUAGCCCACCAAAAGAAAAAGUUAGGGAGAAAGCUAUUUCUCUUUUUUAAAAAAAGAAAACUGGGUACCUGUUUUGCUUAAAUUUGACUGCAUGCCACACCUGCACAGAUGAGCCUGCGCAGGCCUGCUGCAGAGCAGUGACAAGGUGGCACAGGCUGGAGGAGGGGCCGCCCCACCCCAGCUCACAGGGCUUGCCCCACACACACGCAAUCCUGGCCCCAGAUUACAUCUGCAAUGGGACUGACCAGGUCUGAGGCAAAGUCUCUGCUCCAGAGACAGGGCUCCCCUUUCUAUCUCCUCCAGCAGAUCAUUAUUGGAGUUCAUCCACUUUGAACACUAUCUAUUCAUCACCCUACACUUCCUGCACACCGAGCACCUGAGGCAUUUUUACUCCCAACACUCACGACCAUCCUAAUUCAUAAUCAAGUAGCAAAUGUCUUACAAGGAAGCAGAACAGAAAGAAGUGGGUACUGAAAGAACUACUUUGUGUUCAUUUCACCUGAAUAAUUAGACAACCUCCUAGCAAAUCUUAAAGUAGUCCAGAGACUCAAAGAUUUAAUAUAUGGCGUAUCCUUUUCCUAUCUACAUUCAUUCACUGAGUAAUUACUCAGUAAUCACUCUGUGCCAACACCCAGUCAAAAUUCUACACUUUUCUUUUUUGAGACAGGACCUCACUCUGUAGUCCAGGCUGGAGUGCAUCAUAGCUUGAUCACAGCUCACUGCAGCCUCAGCCUCCUGGGCUCAAGCCAUCCUCCUGUCUCAGCCUCACCAGUAGUUGAGAUGACAGGUGCAUGCCAGCACACCCAGCUAAUUUUUUAAUUUUUUUGUAGAGAUGAUGUCUCAUUAUGUUGCCCAGGUGAGAUAUUUUUUGUAUUGGCCUCAUGAUUAAUUUUACCUGUGUUAAGUGGCUUAAAUCUGAAUUACACAUUAUCAUGAUGAUAGACGAUAAUAAUUUUAGAUACAUUACCAAAUAUAUAUAUAUGAUAUUUUACAAGAACUUAGAGGAGUCAGUCCUUACACUCAUGGAAUUUGCAGUCUAUGUUUAAUAUAAUUCUAUGUUCACUGAAUAUAGAAUCAAUAUAUAACCCCUGAUAUGUACUAUUGGUAAUUGGGUCAAUGAUUUGUCUCAUUAUUGCAUUAUUGUCAAUGUAUAAUCCCCAAUAUUACCAUUAGUAAUUAGGUCAAUGAGUUGUCUCAUUAUUGCAGUUUUGUCAAUAUUAAUCCUCAAUAUGAACUAUUAGUAAUUAGGUCAAUGAGUUGUCUUAUUAUUGCAAUAUGUAUACUUAUGUUGAUACAGUAAGAGUCACCAGAAGCAAUAUGAGUUUCUAAGGUAAUUCCAUGAAAAAAUGCACACAACAUAUCUUGUUGGGAGCCAUUGUGACUAUUUCGGCAAAAAAAAGUUACAAUUUUUUAAAAGUUUUUUCUCAUUUUAAUUGUUGAGCCAUUCAGCAAACUCAGCUCAGUAAUCACAGCAUCAGUGGAAAAUAUAUAUUUGUCAAAGAACAAUAGCAUGCUGGAACUAGCUCAUAAUGGCUUACAAAAAAAAUCUAUUAAACCAUCAGGAAUUCUGUGAGCUUUUUGUUAAACUCUGCCAUUAUUAAAUGUCAAAUUAUAUAGAACUAUAACUGAAUGACUUAUAUUAAAUGCAAAGUUAGUAAGAACUCAAAAAUCACUACUUUGUCCAUAUUUUACUCCACUUUAG